RNAcentral lists this long non-coding RNA (358 nucleotides) under Homo sapiens (human). RNAcentral's name for it is "HSALNT0131483". The record is from RNAcentral. Lineage: Eukaryota; Metazoa; Chordata; Mammalia; Primates; Hominidae.
UUGAAUUCCUCUCUCUUGCUGGCUAGCCUCUUCUUCAGUUGGGUAUCAAUAUUAAGCUUAUCCCAGAGGUCAGCGUUUCAGAUGGUGACUAUCUCUGAGCCCUAUGAUAUAAACCUGUCAUGAGGAAUUGUCAUUUGGUUUACUGCAAGGCCUUUGUGAGCCAUAGGUUAAUAUAUUAAUGAAGACUGUGGCUGUUAGCCUACAUUAAAUAAUGACGGCCAAUGAUUGGAAGAAAAACAUCCUUAUGUUCCCCUGCAGAGUGUGAGAUUGAUGAGAAUGGAUUACCCUGCCAAGGGAACUCAAAAAUAUUACAACCUUUUAUUCCUCUGUGGCUUGGACGAGUGUGUAUUCAUUUCUA